Long non-coding RNA from Ipomoea nil (Japanese morning glory), 332 nucleotides. RefSeq lists it as uncharacterized. The record is from RefSeq and is a predicted model, not a curated record. Lineage: Eukaryota; Viridiplantae; Streptophyta; Magnoliopsida; Solanales; Convolvulaceae. The transcript has 3 exons.
CCUAGCUCUGACCAUCGCAAUCGUUAAAUAGAUCAUGUGGUUCUAUCUCUGUUUUUGACUCCAAAAAUAGAUGGUCUUAAACAAGCACAAUACAAGGACAUUGACAAACAUUAUUUUGAUCAGCUAGUCCAGCUUAAGGUAAAUCUUUAAAAUUUUAGACAACUGAGAUGGCAAACAACGACCUGGAUAGAUACUGCGUACAAUACCCCCUGCUUUUGUUGCAUUACAUCAGAUAAUUCCUCAAUUUAUAACACUAUAACUCUCAUAUGCCAUGAGAGAGGCUAAAUAGAAAAUAGGGCCAAUUUAAAUGGAACAGAGGGAUUGUUUGUUUC